RNAcentral lists this ribosomal RNA (1059 nucleotides) under Salmonella enterica subsp. enterica serovar Mbandaka. RNAcentral's name for it is "partial 23S ribosomal RNA". It matches the Rfam family "Bacterial large subunit ribosomal RNA", at positions 1 to 989 of the family's 2925-position model. Lineage: Bacteria; Pseudomonadati; Pseudomonadota; Gammaproteobacteria; Enterobacterales; Enterobacteriaceae. The record is from RNAcentral.
GGGUUGUGAGGUUAAGCGACUAAGCGUACACGGUGGAUGCCCUGGCAGUCAGAGGCGAUGAAGGGCGUGCUAAUCUGCGAUAAGCGCCGGUAAGGUGAUAUGAACCGUUAUAACCGGCGAUACCCGAAUGGGGAAACCCAGUGUGACUCGUCACACUAUCAUUAACUGAAUCCAUAGGUUAAUGAGGCGAACCGGGGGAACUGAAACAUCUAAGUACCCCGAGGAAAAGAAAUCAACCGAGAUUCCCCCAGUAGCGGCGAGCGAACGGGGAGGAGCCCAGAGCCUGAAUCAGCAUGUGUGUUAGUGGAAGCGUCUGGAAAGUCGCGCGAUACAGGGUGACAGCCCCGUACACAAAAGCGCAUGUGUUGUGAGCUCGAUGAGUAGGGCGGGACACGUGGUAUCCUGUCUGAAUAUGGGGGGACCAUCCUCCAAGGCUAAAUACUCCUGACUGACCGAUAGUGAACCAGUACCGUGAGGGAAAGGCGAAAAGAACCCCGGCGAGGGGAGUGAAAAAGAACCUGAAACCGUGUACGUACAAGCAGUGGGAGCCCCACCACCAAAGCAUUCUCUGGUGUUGAAGGCCCUGCAAAGCAGCAUCGCGGUGGCGGAGCGUCGUUUGCGACGCCCAACACAAAAAACAAGCGGUGAGUGCUUUGGGGUGGGGUGACUGCGUACCUUUUGUAUAAUGGGUCAGCGACUUAUAUUCUGUAGCAAGGUUAACCGAAUAGGGGAGCCGUAGGGAAACCGAGUCUUAACUGGGCGUUAAGUUGCAGGGUAUAGACCCGAAACCCGGUGAUCUAGCCAUGGGCAGGUUGAAGGUUGGGUAACACUAACUGGAGGACCGAACCGACUAAUGUUGAAAAAUUAGCGGAUGACCUGUGGCUGGGGGUGAAAGGCCAAUCAAACCGGGAGAUAGCUGGUUCUCCCCGAAAGCUAUUUAGGUAGCGCCUCGUGAAUUCAUCUCCGGGGGUAGAGCACUGUUUCGGCUAGGGGGCCAUCCCGGCUUACCAACCCGAUGCAAACUGCGAAUACCGGAGAAUGUUAUCACGGGAGACACAC